This 446-nucleotide ribosomal RNA is filed under the name uncultured bacterium. RNAcentral's name for it is "bacterial SSU rRNA". It matches the Rfam family "Bacterial small subunit ribosomal RNA", at positions 329 to 792 of the family's 1533-position model. The record is from RNAcentral.
GUCCAGACUCCUACGGGAGGCAGCAGUGGGGGAUAUUGCACAAUGGGGGAAACCCUGAUGCAGCGACGCCGCGUGGGUGAAGAAGCGCCUCGGCGCGUAAAGCCCUGUCAGCAGGGAAGAAAAUGACGGUACCUGAAGAAGAAGCCCCGGCUAACUACGUGCCAGCAGCCGCGGUAAUACGUAGGGGGCAAGCGUUAUCCGGAUUUACUGGGUGUAAAGGGAGCGUAGACGGAUGGAUAAGUCUGAAGUGAAAGCCCGCGGCUCAACUGCGGGACUGCUUUGGAAACUGUGCAUCUUGAGUACGGGAGGGGCAGGCGGAAUUCCUGGUGUAGCGGUGAAAUGCGUAGAUAUCAGGAGGAACACCGGCGGCGAAGGCGGCCUGCUGGACCGAAACUGACGUUGAGGCUCGAAAGCGUGGGGAGCAAACAGGAUUAGAUACCCGGGUA